GAUGAACGCUGGCGGCGUGCCUAAUACAUGCAAGUCGAGCGAACGGACGAGAAGCUUGCUUCUCUGAUGUUAGCGGCGGAAGGGUGAGUAAAACGUGGAUAACAUACCUAUAAGACUGGGAUAACUUCGGGAAACCGGAGCUAAUACCGGAUGAUAUUUUGAACCGCAUGGUUCAAAAGUGAAAGACGGUCUUGCUGUCACUUAUAGAUGGAUCCGCGCUGCAUUAGCUAGUUGGUAAGGUAACGGCUUACCAAGGCAACGAUGCAUAGCCGACCUGAGAGGGUGAUCGGCCACACUGGAACUGAGACACGGUCCAGACUCCUACGGGAGGCAGCAGUAGGGAAUCUUCCGCAAUGGGCGAAAGCCUGACGGAGCAACGCCGCGUGAGUGAUGAAGGUCUUCGGAUCGUAAAACUCUGUUAUUAGGGAAGAACAUAUGUGUAAGUAACUGUGCACAUCUUGACGGUACCUAAUCAGAAAGCCACGGCUAACUACGUG
This 497-nucleotide ribosomal RNA is filed under the name uncultured bacterium. RNAcentral describes it as "partial 16S ribosomal RNA". It matches the Rfam family "Bacterial small subunit ribosomal RNA", at positions 28 to 507 of the family's 1533-position model. The record is from RNAcentral.